Molecule: non-coding RNA, 132 nt
Filed under: uncultured Entomoneis
Lineage: Eukaryota; Bacillariophyta; Bacillariophyceae; Surirellales; Surirellaceae
Source: RNAcentral
AACUUGAGGACAUGAUGGGCGGCAACCAGAUAUUUGCCUUAUAAAAAAGGAAAGUAGAUAAACAAGAAGAAGAGAAAAGGAAGUAGGAGGUAACAUUUCCACCAAGUGUUGACCAAAUUGUUCGUUUUCCUU